RNAcentral lists this ribosomal RNA (457 nucleotides) under uncultured Chloroflexota bacterium. Its description in RNAcentral is "bacterial SSU rRNA". It matches the Rfam family "Bacterial small subunit ribosomal RNA", at positions 916 to 1381 of the family's 1533-position model. The record is from RNAcentral. Lineage: Bacteria; Bacillati; Chloroflexota.
ACGGGGCCCGCACAAGCAGCGGAGCGUGUGGUUUAAUUCGAUGCAACGCGAAGAACCUUACCAGGGCUUGACAUGCUUGAAGUAGAAACUCGAAAGAGGGACGACCUGUAUCCAAUCAGGAGCUUGCACAGGUGCUGCAUGGCUGUCGUCAGCUCGUGCCGUGAGGUGUUAGGUUAAGUCCUGCAACGAGCGCAACCCUCGUCGCUAGUUAAUUUUUCUAGCGAUACUGCCCGUAUAACGCGGAGGAAGGUGGGGAUGACGUCAAGUCAGCAUGGCCCUUACGUCCUGGGCUACACACACGCUACAAUGGGUGAUACAAAAGGUUGCAAUAGAGUGAUCUGGAGCUAAUCCUGAAAAUCAUCCUCAGUUCGGAUUGUAGGCUGAAACUGCCUGCAUGAAGUUGGAGUUGCUAGUAACCGCAGGUCAGCACACUGCGGUGAAUACGUUCUCGGGCCUU